UCCCCCAUCCCCCCUGCCAGCCCUCCCUGGUUGGGUCUUGGCUGGGGCUGAAGUGCCCCACAUCUGGGUGGAGGUGAAGGGUGGGGGCAUCCUCUCCUGUUAGCUCACCCCAACAGCCAGCCGCAUUCCUGCCAGCAUGACUGCCGCCACCACCUGGACCCAGGCCCACUUGUCUCAUGGGGCCAAAGGGCUACUCACUUGCAUGCACAUGAGUACACACCCCAAACCAAUACACGAACACAAGUGCAUGCGGAGACACAACGCAUCCCUACACAGACACAGCAGCCCCUCUCCCCGCUGGUGGUGGGCGGCUGCUCUCAGUGUCACCACCUCCUCCCUUCAGCCCAGUUGUCACCACUGCCCCCAGCUUCUGGGCAGAGAAUGUUAGAGGGUCUUGGGGAUCCAGACUGCCCAAGGGGCCAGGGGAGGGCUCCCUGGUCCUGGGAGUGGUGACAUGAGAGAGUACCAAUGAUGUGGGAACUACCUCAUGUCUUCUUGGGAGAGGGGGGCCCACACCCAUCCCUCACUGUUGGUGCCGUCCUCUUUCUCCCCUUUAUCUUGGUUGGCGGCAUACCCAGCAGCAGGGAUGAGCCGUCUCCCAGGGGGAACUUCUGGUAGCGCGGCACAGCCAGUGGGGCGAUGGCCUGGAACUUGGGGGCCAGCAGGGGCUCAAGGCGGGAGGCGCAGGGGUCGGCCGCAUGGAAGAGGUUGUAGAUCUGCUCACAGGCUGGCCGCAUCUGGGCCACUGGUACCCAGAAGAUAAAGGGGGGAGGGGAUUCAUCUGGGCAUACUGGGAGGCAGGGGUUGUGGGAAGCGGCACCCUGACAUGCUGUGUGACCCUGAACCAGCACUUCCCAGACUCUACUCCCUGGGAGGUGCCUGGGAGUGCUUAAAAGUGAGACAGGUCUCUCGGCUAAGAAGAGAUCAGAGCCUUCGAUUUGCUGAUGUUCAAGAUGAAGCGUUCCCCAUGCCUGUUGGACCCCCUCUCAUGAAAGCAUCUGUGGAGCCAGCACCAGGCCCAGAGGGGAGCCAAAGAGGAAGAAGCCGGAGACCUUGAAGUCAAGGCGGGUGGCACUGGUCAUUUCACGUUUCUGCGUCUUUGCACAUGGCCAGUCCUGCUGCUGACAGGCAUGCGUCUCCGCACAAGCCCUGUUUGCCUGGAAAAUUCCUUCUAAUCCUGCCCUGUCCAAUAUGGUAGCCACUAGUCACAUGUGCCUACUUAAACUGAAAUGAAUUAAAAUAACAAUACCAAUUUCAGUUCCUCAGUCCCACUCGCCACAUUUCAAGUACUUGCUAGCCACAUGUGGCUAGUGGCUAGAACAUUUCCAUCAUCUCAGAAAGUUCUUUUGGACAGAGCUCGUCCAAUCCUUCAAAAUCCAGCUUAGACAUCACCUCCCACGUGAAGCCUUCCUGGACUCCGAAUGAAUUCCUCCAUUCUCUGUGCUGUGUCUGAACCCUGAAUACACGCCCCACAUCCAUCCAUCCACCCAUUAUCUGCUCAUUACUCGUCUGUGUAUUUAAUGAGCACCCUUUCUGGACUGACAUUCAUCUCAGGACCCCAUUAAACUUAGGAAUGAGUUGUUCUCCAAGUCCCCACCGCAUACGGAGUGCUGGUGGCUGGCAACUGGAUGUGGGAUCUUUACCUGGCGCCCCUUCUGCCUCCAUGGGGCAGGCAAAGGCGUCGAUGAAGUCAUUGGAGUUCCACUUGGUCAUCUCCUUGGGGAAAACCUCGUCACUGUCCGAGAAACCUUCUGAAGGGACGAAGGGCUGCGUCAUGGUUUGGCGGGAGCUGCUCAGGGACCCCCCCUUCCCCUAACAGGUCUGGGGUCCUGACCGUGGGCAUCAAAGAACUCCUCCUCAGAGCUGUUCUCAGAGUCUCGGGCGAUGUUCUGCAUGCGCCACUCGGACAGAGUCUGGGGAGACACGCCCCCUGCAGGGCCACAUUGGCCUCAGCCUGGGAGUCCAGCCUGAGGGCCGCUCCCUCCCGCCCCUCUGCCUCAGCCUCACCUCCAUGCUGGGACGAGUAGGAGGAACGGGAGGACGAGGACCACUGCUUGCCGAAGCUGGCAUCGGGCGAGGCUUCGGGGCCUGGGGGCACCUCGGGCCCAUCGGGGGUACCGGCACGGCUGGUCCCAGCCCGGGCCUCAGUGCUUGGCUUCGCGGGGGGCUGGGCCUCGGGCCCCUCACUGCCUGUGUUGCACCUGGCCAUGCGCUGUGCCAGCAUGCGGGCGGUCUCUUCCUCCAGUGCCCGGAUGUCAGCCAUGCUCAGCUCUGUCCACUCGUCCUGCCAGCACCAGGCCUGGCGGUGGGCCCGCAGCAUCACCCGACGCAGACCUGUAGGCGCCCAGGCAUCAAAGCCAUGCCCUCCUCACCCACACGCCCCCGCCCCGAGUUUCCCUGCCACUGCAGCCACAUGCCCAGCCCAUGAGUUCAGGUAAUGGCUCCCCUGGGCACACCCCCCACCCAGGGCCACAAAGUAUAGCAGGGUGAGCACUGUCCGGGAGACGGGAGUGGAAACUGGGGCAUUUGUCUUCCUGCCCCACCUCCCUCCCUGCCCACUGCCUCUUUUAUCCCUCUGGACACCCCACCUCUGAGCGCUGAGCCCACCCCGACACCCUGGGAAGCUGGGAGCAAUGUUUGUUCUUGCUUCUUUCAGCUGGCUUCCUGCUGAUUUCUUCACAAGAGUUAACAAUUAAGGCGUUGAUAGUUAAUGAAAUUGUUGAUGGUUAAUGAAGGUGUUAAGAGUUAAUGGAAGUGUUGGCACUUAAUGAAGCAAAACAUGAUACCCAUUCUGGGAUAUUUUCAUCCUAAGCAGAGGACUAAAGUUAGAGACUUCAAUAUCUAGGAAAUAAAGUCAUAAUGAUUGAAUUAUUGUUAUAAACUUCUGGAA
Molecule: long non-coding RNA, 2890 nt
Organism: Lagenorhynchus albirostris (white-beaked dolphin)
Lineage: Eukaryota; Metazoa; Chordata; Mammalia; Artiodactyla; Delphinidae
Exons: 3
Source: RefSeq, a predicted model, not a curated record